RNAcentral lists this ribosomal RNA (440 nucleotides) under uncultured bacterium. Its description in RNAcentral is "partial 16S ribosomal RNA". It matches the Rfam family "Bacterial small subunit ribosomal RNA", at positions 339 to 795 of the family's 1533-position model. The record is from RNAcentral.
CUACGGGCCGCUCCAGUGGGGAAUAUUGGACAAUGGGGGAAACCCUGAUCCAGCCAUGCCGCGUGAGUGAUGAAGGCCCUAGGGUUGUAAAGCUCUUUUGUGAGGGAAGAUGAUGACGGUACCUCAAGAAUAAGCACCGGCUGAACUUCGUGCCAGCAGCCGCGGUAAUACGAAGGGUGCUAGCGUUGUUCGGAAUUACUGGGCGUAAAGCGCGCGUAGGCGGCGAUGCAAGUCAGAGGUGAAAGCCCGGAGCUCAACUCCGGAAUUGCCUUUGAAACUGCAUUGCUAGAGUAUUGGAGGGGAGUGCGGAAUUCCUAAUGUAGAGGUGAAAUUCGUAGAUAUUAGGUGGAACACCAGUGGCGAAGGCGCCUAACUGGUCCGGUACUGACGCUGAGGAACGAAAGCGUGGGGAGCAAACAGGAUUAGAUACCCUGGUAGUC